Molecule: non-coding RNA, 108 nt
Organism: Streptococcus equi subsp. zooepidemicus H70
Lineage: Bacteria; Bacillati; Bacillota; Bacilli; Lactobacillales; Streptococcaceae
Source: Rfam
AAUGAUAGUUUAGUCGCUUUUCAUUAUAGGUCAUAUGGGACUUUUUUGAUACUCAAAAAGCCCUAUAACCCCUGCAGUGGACUUACCCACUACAGAAAUUAUAGAGCC